This 396-nucleotide unclassified non-coding RNA is filed under the name Hevea brasiliensis (rubber tree). The record is from RNAcentral. Lineage: Eukaryota; Viridiplantae; Streptophyta; Magnoliopsida; Malpighiales; Euphorbiaceae.
CUGCUCCUCCCAUCAUCUGGGGUUGCCCCGAAGUUUCCCCUCGAGAAGAGACCAUGGGCCUCUUAAGUUGAGAACUCAUGUAAACAUCAUCUCUUGACCUCUUCAUCUCGUUCUAUAACUAACCAAAAUCUCUCUCUCUCUCUCUCCCUUCAACAACAAAUCAUCAUGCUCUUGAAACUUCAAUUAAACCAAAAGAAAACCUUUCAAGGAGGGAAUGGUAAUUAAAGGAGGAAGUGGUUUUUUUUUAUUUUCUUUUUCUUUUUGCUUUUGUUUUCUUAAUUUUGCUGUGUAGAGAGAAACAGAGACAGAGGAAAGGAUUGCAAAUGCAAUGUUGUUUUAGAAUGGGAGGAUAUUAUAUAUGGGUGGGCUUUCUUCUUGUGACAUUGAAAAAUGAAA